RNAcentral lists this unclassified non-coding RNA (552 nucleotides) under Hevea brasiliensis (rubber tree). The record is from RNAcentral. Lineage: Eukaryota; Viridiplantae; Streptophyta; Magnoliopsida; Malpighiales; Euphorbiaceae.
GGAAAGAGUUAACAGCUAUAAAUCAACUAAGCCGCAGUAGAAUUUCCAUUUGUCUUGGAUUCUGUUCGUACAUAUGUCAUACUCCGAGGAAUGGGAGAAGGAACUGCUUUACUCGAGGGUGUAGCCAAACCAGAGUUAUCAGUCGAUGUGGGCUGAGCAUCUCGUUUCCAUUGCAUACUUCUAGCACCAGGCCUGAUUGGGAGCCGGGACCUGUACAAAGUGGGAGAGCCUCUAGGAAAAGGGACCCGACCAAACCUAGAAACGGCAAAAGGACCACCUCUCGCAACACGAGGCCAUACAGUGCCAGACGCUGCUUCAGGAGUAGCAGAGCUUUUCCUCACAACCUUCAGAAUGCGUGACAUGAAUGAUGUUCCAUCAAGAGAUAAAGCAUUCUCUGCAGAUCCUUUUCUCAUGAACUCUACAUAAGCUGACCCUUUGGGUUGCCCAGUUCCAGCAUCAGUCAGGAUUACCACUUUAAGCACUUCUCCAAAUUUAUUAAAGUGCCGAGAAAGGCUAUCCUUUGUAGCAGCAAAAUGAACAUUGUUAACAAAG